Triticum aestivum (bread wheat) is the source of this 115-nucleotide non-coding RNA. Lineage: Eukaryota; Viridiplantae; Streptophyta; Magnoliopsida; Poales; Poaceae. The record is from Rfam.
CAAGUAGUCCCUCCGUUCGGAAUUACUUGUCAUCAAAAUGGAUGUGUCUAUAACUAAAAUACAUCUAGAUACAUCCAUUUCAAUGACAAGUAUUUUCGGACGGAGGGAGUACGAG